UAUUUAGUGACUGAUAAAAGUAUUAGUCUUUUAAACUAAACCAUGGAUUUAAAUCCCUAAAUAA
Molecule: transfer RNA, 64 nt
Filed under: Paurocephala sauteri
Lineage: Eukaryota; Metazoa; Arthropoda; Insecta; Hemiptera; Liviidae
Description: tRNA-Lys
Source: RNAcentral